Molecule: ribosomal RNA, 548 nt
Filed under: uncultured Glomeromycotina
Lineage: Eukaryota; Fungi; Glomeromycota
Description: SSU rRNA
Rfam family: Eukaryotic small subunit ribosomal RNA
Source: RNAcentral
UUGGAGGGCAAGUCUGGUGCCAGCAGCCGCGGUAAUUUCAGCUCCAAUAGCGUAUAUUAAAGUUGUUGCAGUUAAAAAGCUCGUAGUUGAAUUUCGGGAUCAAAUUGUCGGUCGUGCCUCGGUACGCACUGGUAUUAUUGGUUCCUACCUUCUGAAGAACCGCGAUGUCAUUAAUUUGGUGUCGUGGGGAAUCAGGACUGUUACUUUGAAAAAAUUAGAGUGUUUAAAGCAGGCUUACGCUUGAAUACAUUAGCAUGGAAUAAUGAAAUAGGACGUUUGAUUCUACUUUGUUGGUUUCUAGGAUUGACGUAAUGAUUAAUAGGGAUAGUUGGGGGCAUUAGUAUUCAAUUGUCAGAGGUGAAAUUCUUGGAUUUAUUGAAGACUAACUACUGCGAAAGCAUUUGCCAAGGAUGUUUUCAUUAAUCAAGAACGAAAGUUAGGGGAUCGAAGACGAUCAGAUACCGUCGUAGUCUUAACCAUAAACUAUGCCGACUAGGGAUCGGAUGAUGUUAAUUUUUUAAUGACUCAUUCGGCGCCUUACGGGAAAC